CGUCACACUAUCAUUAACUGAAUCCAUAGGUUAAUGAGGCGAACCGGGGGAACUGAAACAUCUAAGUACCCCGAGGAAAAGAAAUCAACCGAGAUUCCCCCAGUAGCGGCGAGCGAACGGGGAGGAGCCCAGAGCCUGAAUCAGCAUGUGUGUUAGUGGAAGCGUCUGGAAAGGUGCGCGAUACAGGGUGACAGCCCCGUACACAAAAGCGCAUGUGCUGUGAGCUCGAUGAGUAGGGCGGGACACGUGGUAUCCUGUCUGAAUAUGGGGGGACCAUCCUCCAAGGCUAAAUACUCCUGACUGACCGAUAGUGAACCAGUACCGUGAGGGAAAGGCGAAAAGAACCCCGGCGAGGGGAGUGAAAAAGAACCUGAAACCGUGUACGUACAAGCAGUGGGAGC
This 401-nucleotide ribosomal RNA is filed under the name Salmonella enterica subsp. enterica serovar Typhimurium. Its description in RNAcentral is "bacterial LSU rRNA". It matches the Rfam family "Bacterial large subunit ribosomal RNA", at positions 141 to 580 of the family's 2925-position model. Lineage: Bacteria; Pseudomonadati; Pseudomonadota; Gammaproteobacteria; Enterobacterales; Enterobacteriaceae. The record is from RNAcentral.